Molecule: long non-coding RNA, 195 nt
Organism: Carassius carassius (crucian carp)
Lineage: Eukaryota; Metazoa; Chordata; Actinopteri; Cypriniformes; Cyprinidae
Exons: 3
Source: RefSeq, a predicted model, not a curated record
UGUUUCAGACUGUAUUGUUGGCGAACACUAAGGCCUAUGUUAUCAGAGGACUUGCUAACAUGAAGAAAACGUCCAGAGGUUCCAGAGCAGGGACUGUCAAAUAGUAAGACAAAAAAGAAAAGGAGGGAACUGACUUUAAGCUGUGGAGUCAGACGGAGGGCUCACAUUUACCUCAAAAACAGCAUUGCAGAGGAC